UACGGAGGGUGCAAACGUUGCUCGGAAUCAUUGGGCGUAAAGCGCACGUAGGCGGCCCGUUAAGUCGGGUGUGAAAGCCCUGGGCUCAACCCAGGAAGUGCACUCGAAACUGGCGGGCUUGAAUAUGGAAGAGGAUCGCGGAAUUCCCGGUGUAGAGGUGAAAUUCGUAGAUAUCGGGAGGAACACCAGUGGCGAAGGCGGCGACCUGGGCCAAUAUUGACGCUGAGGUGCGAAAGCGUGGGGAGCAAACAGG
RNAcentral lists this ribosomal RNA (253 nucleotides) under uncultured bacterium. RNAcentral describes it as "partial 16S ribosomal RNA". It matches the Rfam family "Bacterial small subunit ribosomal RNA", at positions 524 to 776 of the family's 1533-position model. The record is from RNAcentral.